This 101-nucleotide Y RNA is filed under the name Prolemur simus (greater bamboo lemur). Its description in RNAcentral is "Y RNA (ENSPSMG00000001505.1)". It matches the Rfam family "Y RNA". From Rfam's summary of the family: Y RNAs are components of the Ro ribonucleoprotein particle (Ro RNP), in association with Ro60 and La proteins. The Y RNAs and Ro60 and La proteins are well conserved, but the function of the Ro RNP is not known. In humans the RNA component can be one of four small RNAs -- hY1, hY3, hY4 and hY5. Lineage: Eukaryota; Metazoa; Chordata; Mammalia; Primates; Lemuridae. The record is from Rfam by way of RNAcentral.
GGCUGGUCCACGUGCAGUGGUGUUUACAACUAAUUGAUCACAACCAGUUACAGAUUCCUUUGUUCCUUCUCCACUCCCACUGCUUUACUAACUAGCCUUUU